UACAGAGGGUGCAAGCGUUGUUCGGAAUUAUUGGGCGUAAAGGGAGUGUAGGCGGUUUGUUAAGUCUUCUGUGAAAUCUACGGGCUUAGCCUGUAACGUGCAGAGGAAACUGACAGGCUUGAGUGUCGGAGAGGAUAGGGGAAUACCCAGUGUAGAGGUGAAAUUCGUAGAGAUUGAGUGGAACACCAGUGGCGAAGGCGCCUAUCUGGCUGACAACUGACGCUGAGACUCGAAAGCAUGGGGGAGCAAACAGG
Molecule: ribosomal RNA, 254 nt
Filed under: uncultured bacterium
Lineage: Bacteria
Description: partial 16S ribosomal RNA
Rfam family: Bacterial small subunit ribosomal RNA
Source: RNAcentral